Molecule: ribosomal RNA, 651 nt
Filed under: uncultured Bacteroidales bacterium
Lineage: Bacteria; Pseudomonadati; Bacteroidota; Bacteroidia; Bacteroidales
Description: bacterial SSU rRNA
Rfam family: Bacterial small subunit ribosomal RNA
Source: RNAcentral
ACGGGUGAGUAACACGUAUCCAACCUGCCGUCUAUUCUUGGACAGCCUUCUGAAAGGAAGAUUAAUACAAGAUGGCAUCAUGAGUCCGCAUGUUCACAUGAUUAAAGGUAUUCCGGUAGACGAUGGGGAUGCGUUCCAUUAGAUAGUAGGCGGGGUAACGGCCCACCUAGUCUUCGAUGGAUAGGGGUUCUGAGAGGAAGGUCCCCCACAUUGGAACUGAGACACGGUCCAAACUCCUACGGGAGGCAGCAGUGAGGAAUAUUGGUCAAUGGGCGAGAGCCUGAACCAGCCAAGUAGCGUGAAGGAUGACUGCCCUAUGGGUUGUAAACUUCUUUUAUAAAGGAAUAAAGUCGGGUAUGCAUACCCGUUUGCAUGUACUUUAUGAAUAAGGAUCGGCUAACUCCGUGCCAGCAGCCGCGGUAAUACGGAGGAUCCGAGCGUUAUCCGGAUUUAUUGGGUUUAAAGGGAGCGUAGAUGGAUGUUUAAGUCAGUUGUGAAAGUUUGCGGCUCAACCGUAAAAUUGCAGUUGAUACUGGAUAUCUUGAGUGCAGUUGAGGCAGGCGGAAUUCGUGGUGUAGCGGUGAAAUGCUUAGAUAUCACGAAGAACUCCGAUUGCGGAGGCAGCCUGCUAAGCUGCAACUGACAUUGAGG